CACGAAGAUGGAAUACGCCAUG
This 22-nucleotide microRNA is filed under the name Pristionchus pacificus. Its description in RNAcentral is "ppc-miR-2249". Lineage: Eukaryota; Metazoa; Nematoda; Chromadorea; Rhabditida; Neodiplogasteridae. The record is from miRBase by way of RNAcentral.